Molecule: ribosomal RNA, 904 nt
Filed under: Halorubrum sp.
Lineage: Archaea; Methanobacteriati; Methanobacteriota; Halobacteria; Halobacteriales; Haloferacaceae
Description: bacterial SSU rRNA
Rfam family: Archaeal small subunit ribosomal RNA
Source: RNAcentral
UGCUAGUCGCACGAGUUCAGACUCGUGGCGAAUAGCUCAGUAACACGUGGCCAAACUACCCUUCGGAGCUCCAUACCCUCGGGAAACUGAGGCUAAUAGAGCAUACCACAAUCCAGCUGGAAUGAGGAUUGUGUCAAACGCUCCGGCGCCGAAGGAUGUGGCUGCGGCCGAUUAGGUAGACGGUGGGGUAACGGCCCACCGUGCCAAUAAUCGGUACGGGUCAUGAGAGUGAGAACCCGGAGACGGAAUCUGAGACAAGAUUCCGGGCCCUACGGGGCGCAGCAGGCGCGAAACCUUUACACUGCACGCCAGUGCGAUAAGGGGAUCCCAAGUGCGCAGGCAUAGAGCCUGCGCUUUUGUACACCGUAGGGAGGUGUACGAAUAAGGGCUGGGCAAGACCGGUGCCAGCCGCCGCGGUAAUACCGGCAGCCCGAGUGAUGGCCGAUUUUAUUGGGCCUAAAGCGUCCGUAGCUGGCCGCGCAAGUCCAUCGGAAAAUCCACCCGCCCAACGGGUGGGCGUCCGGUGGAAACUGCGUGGCUUGGGACCGGAAGGCGCGACGGGUACGUCCGGGGUAGGAGUGAAAUCCCGUAAUCCUGGACGGACCGCCGAUGGCGAAAGCACGUCGCGAGGACGGAUCCGACAGUGAGGGACGAAAGCCAGGGUCUCGAACCGGAUUAGAUACCCGGGUAGUCCUGGCCGUAAACAAUGUCUGUUAGGUGUGGCUCCCACUACGAGUGGGUGCUGUGCCGUAGGGAAGCCGCUAAACAGACCGCCUGGGAAGUACGUCCGCAAGGAUGAAACUUAAAGGAAUUGGCGGGGGAGCACUACAACCGGAGGAGCCUGCGGUUUAAUUGGACUCAACGCCGGACAUCUCACCAGCAUCGACUGUAGUAAUGACGAUCA